RNAcentral lists this ribosomal RNA (253 nucleotides) under uncultured bacterium. RNAcentral describes it as "partial 16S ribosomal RNA". It matches the Rfam family "Bacterial small subunit ribosomal RNA", at positions 524 to 776 of the family's 1533-position model. The record is from RNAcentral.
UACGUAGGGUGCGAGCGUUAAUCGGAAUUACUGGGCGUAAAGCGUGCGCAGGCGGCGCGGUAAGUCGGGUGUGAAAUCUCGGAGCUUAACUCCGAAACUGCAUUCGAUACUGCCGUGCUUGAGGACUGGAGAGGAGACUGGAAUUUACGGUGUAGCGGUGAAAUGCGUAGAUAUCGUAAGGAAGACCAGUGGCGAAGGCGGGUCUCUGGACAGUUCCUGACGCUGAGGCACGAAGGUCAGGGGAGCAAACGGG